AGUGAACGCUGGCGGUAGGCCUAACACAUGCAAGUCGAACGGCAGCACAGUAAGAGCUUGCUCUUACGGGUGGCGAGUGGCGGACGGGUGAGGAAUACAUCGGAAUCUACUUUUUCGUGGGGGAUAACGUAGGGAAACUUACGCUAAUACCGCAUACGACCUACGGGUGAAAGCAGGGGAUCUUCGGACCUUGCGCGAUUGAAUGAGCCGAUGUCGGAUUAGCUAGUUGGCGGGGUAAAGGCCCACCAAGGCGACGAUCCGUAGCUGGUCUGAGAGGAUGAUCAGCCACACUGGAACUGAGACACGGUCCAGACUCCUACGGGAGGCAGCAGUGGGGAAUAUUGGGCAAUGGGCGCAAGCCUGAUCCAGCUAUACCGCGUGGGUGAAGAAGGCCUUCGGGUUGUAAAGCCCUUUUGUUGGGAAAGAAAAGCAGCAGGUUAAUACCCCGCUGUUCUGACGGUACCCAAAGAAUAAGCACCGGCUAACUUCGUG
This 492-nucleotide ribosomal RNA is filed under the name uncultured bacterium. Its description in RNAcentral is "partial 16S ribosomal RNA". It matches the Rfam family "Bacterial small subunit ribosomal RNA", at positions 29 to 507 of the family's 1533-position model. The record is from RNAcentral.